UACGUUGGGGGCAAGCGUUGUCCGGAUUUAUUGGGCGUAAAGAGCGUGUAGGCGGCUUGGAAGGUCAGCUGUGAAAACUCGAGGCUCAACCUCGAGACGUCGGUUGAAACCACCUGGCUAGAGUCCGGAAGAGGAGAGUGGAAUUCCCGGUGUAGCGGUGAAAUGCGCAGAUAUCGGGAAGAACACCCGUGGCGAAGGCGGCUCUCUGGGACGGUACUGACGCUGAGACGCGAAAGCGUGGGGAGCGAACAGG
RNAcentral lists this ribosomal RNA (253 nucleotides) under uncultured bacterium. RNAcentral's name for it is "partial 16S ribosomal RNA". It matches the Rfam family "Bacterial small subunit ribosomal RNA", at positions 524 to 776 of the family's 1533-position model. The record is from RNAcentral.